UACGUAGGGUGCAAGCGUUAAUCGGAAUUACUGGGCGUAAAGCGUGCGCAGGCGGUGAUGUAAGACAGGUGUGAAAUCCCCGGGCUUAACCUGGGAACUGCAUUUGUGACUGCAUCGCUGGAGUGCGGCAGAGGGGGAUGGAAUUCCGCGUGUAGCAGUGAAAUGCGUAGAUAUCAGGAGGAACACCAAUAGCGAAGGCAGCUCGCUGGGACGUUACUGACACUGAGGCGCGAAAGCGUGGGGAGCGAACAGG
Molecule: ribosomal RNA, 253 nt
Filed under: uncultured prokaryote
Description: partial 16S ribosomal RNA
Rfam family: Bacterial small subunit ribosomal RNA
Source: RNAcentral